AUGCUUCUCCUAAAGACUAAGCCAUGCAUGCCCUGAAUAUGAGGAAGCAAUUCUCUCUGAAUCUGCGAACGGCUCCGCAAACCAGUUGUAAACCACAGCAAGCCCGCAAGGGUGGGCCUCGGCUCGCCUGCGCGAUACGGAUAACCCUGGUAAUUCUAAGGCUAAUACGUGUAUGGAACACCCGGUGGACCGGCCUUGUGCUGGGAAACCGGGAGGCGAGGGAUUGAAUGUUUGGAUUACCAGGAACGGGCG
RNAcentral lists this ribosomal RNA (252 nucleotides) under uncultured Lamproderma sp. Its description in RNAcentral is "partial 18S ribosomal RNA". It matches the Rfam family "Eukaryotic small subunit ribosomal RNA", at positions 28 to 248 of the family's 1831-position model. Lineage: Eukaryota; Evosea; Eumycetozoa; Stemonitida. The record is from RNAcentral.